This 488-nucleotide long non-coding RNA is filed under the name Brassica napus (rape). Its description in RNAcentral is "long non-coding RNA (BNAP_LNC021124)". The record is from RNAcentral. Lineage: Eukaryota; Viridiplantae; Streptophyta; Magnoliopsida; Brassicales; Brassicaceae.
AGAAUCUCCACAGGCGUCGAGAUUCUGUUUUCGAAAAUAUAGAGGUUCCUUGCUGUCCAAAUGCCCCAAACGAUCCAUGGGAAGAUAUCUCCGGGCAGUCCCCACGGUGGUAACAUAAUGAUUGAGCCUGACGCCAAGAAAGCUUCACUAAAGGAGACACAGUUCGCUGGGUUGAAGCUCGAGGUCCAAAUUGUGUUACUCCAUAUCUGUCUAGUGUAGUAGCAAUGGAGGAAGAUGUGCUCUGCAGUUUCGACUUCUCCACAAUACCUGCAUGUCACAUUAGACAUAAGACCACGCUUUGCUAGGUUCCCUCCUAGAGCCAAAGCACCCUGGACUACUUUCCAUAAGAAUAGUUGGAGUUUUGGUGAGGUCUUGCGUUUCUAUAUCGCCUUAUAGAUCUGAUGAUAAUAUGUGGGUGCAUCUAUUUGAACUGCUGUAGCUACAUAAUAGCUAGACUUGGCUGAGUACAUCCCUGAUCUGGAAGCCAA